Molecule: ribosomal RNA, 693 nt
Filed under: Pseudomonas frederiksbergensis
Lineage: Bacteria; Pseudomonadati; Pseudomonadota; Gammaproteobacteria; Pseudomonadales; Pseudomonadaceae
Description: bacterial SSU rRNA
Rfam family: Bacterial small subunit ribosomal RNA
Source: RNAcentral
CGGGUACUUGUACCUGGUGGCGAGCGGCGGACGGGUGAGUAAUGCCUAGGAAUCUGCCUGGUAGUGGGGGAUAACGCUCGGAAACGGGCGCUAAUACCGCAUACGUCCUACGGGAGAAAGCAGGGGACCUUCGGGCCUUGCGCUAUCAGAUGAGCCUAGGUCGGAUUAGCUAGUUGGUGAGGUAAUGGCUCACCAAGGCGACGAUCCGUAACUGGUCUGAGAGGAUGAUCAGUCACACUGGAACUGAGACACGGUCCAGACUCCUACGGGAGGCAGCAGUGGGGAAUAUUGGACAAUGGGCGAAAGCCUGAUCCAGCCAUGCCGCGUGUGUGAAGAAGGUCUUCGGAUUGUAAAGCACUUUAAGUUGGGAGGAAGGGCAUUUACCUAAUACGUAAGUGUUUUGACGUUACCGACAGAAUAAGCACCGGCUAACUCUGUGCCAGCAGCCGCGGUAAUACAGAGGGUGCAAGCGUUAAUCGGAAUUACUGGGCGUAAAGCGCGCGUAGGUGGUUCGUUAAGUUGGAUGUGAAAUCCCCGGGCUCAACCUGGGAACUGCAUUCAAAACUGUCGAGCUAGAGUAUGGUAGAGGGUGGUGGAAUUUCCUGUGUAGCGGUGAAAUGCGUAGAUAUAGGAAGGAACACCAGUGGCGAAGGCGACCACCUGGACUGAUACUGACACUGAGGUGCGAAAGCG